Molecule: ribosomal RNA, 398 nt
Filed under: uncultured Streptococcus sp.
Lineage: Bacteria; Bacillati; Bacillota; Bacilli; Lactobacillales; Streptococcaceae
Description: bacterial SSU rRNA
Rfam family: Bacterial small subunit ribosomal RNA
Source: RNAcentral
ACAUCCCGAUGCUAUUUCUUAGAGAUAGAAAGUUACUUCGGUACAUCGGUGGACAGGUGGUGCAUGGUUGUCGUCAGCUCGUGUCGUGAGAUGUUGGGUUAAGUCCGCAACGAGCGCAACCCCUAUUGUUAGUUGCCAUCAUUCAGUUGGGCACUCUAGCGAGACUGCCGGUAAUAAACCGGAGGAAGGUGGGGAUGACGUCAAAUCAUCAUGCCCCUUAUGACCUGGGCUACACACGUGCUACAAUGGUUGGUACAACGAGUUGCGAGUCAGUGACGGCGAGCUAAUCUCUUAAAGCCAAUCUCAGUUCGGAUUGUAGGCUGCAACUCGCCUACAUGAAGUCGGAAUCGCUAGUAAUCGCGGAUCAGCACGCCGCGGUGAAUACGUUCCCGGGCCUU